Molecule: ribosomal RNA, 265 nt
Filed under: uncultured bacterium
Lineage: Bacteria
Description: partial 16S ribosomal RNA
Rfam family: Bacterial small subunit ribosomal RNA
Source: RNAcentral
GAGCACGUAGGUGGGUUUGUAAGUCAGAUGUGAAAGCCUUCUGUUCAACGGAAGAAUUGCAUCUGAAACUGCGAGUCUUGAGUGUAGGAGGGGAGAAUGGAACUUCUGGUGGAGCGGUGAAAUGCGUAGAUAUCAGAAGGAACGCCGGCAGCGAAAGCGAUUCUCUGGCCUAUUACUGACACUCAGUGUGCGAAAGCUAGGGGAGCAAACGGGAUUAGAUACCCCGGUAGUCCUAGCCGUAAACGAUGGGCACUAAGUAGAGGGG